Molecule: ribosomal RNA, 253 nt
Filed under: uncultured bacterium
Lineage: Bacteria
Description: partial 16S ribosomal RNA
Rfam family: Bacterial small subunit ribosomal RNA
Source: RNAcentral
UACGUAGGGGGCAAGCGUUGUCCGGAAUUAUUGGGCGUAAAGAGCGUGUAGGCGGCUAGGUAAGUCCGUUGUGAAAACUCGAGGCUCAACCUCGAGACGGCGGUGGAAACUAUCUGGCUAGAGUCCGGAAGAGGAGAGUGGAAUUCCUGGUGUAGCGGUGAAAUGCGCAGAUAUCAGGAAGAACACCGGUGGCGAAGGCGGGUCUCUGGGCCGGUACUGACGCUGAGGCGCGAAAGCGUGGGGAGCGAACAGG